AUACGUAGGUGGCAAGCGUUGUCCGGAUUUAUUGGGCGUAAAGCGAGCGCAGGCGGUUUCUUAAGUCUGAUGUGAAAGCCCCCGGCUCAACCGGGGAGGGUCAUUGGAAACUGGGAGACUUGAGUGCAGAAGAGGAGAGUGGAAUUCCAUGUGUAGCGGUGAAAUGCGUAGAUAUAUGGAGGAACACCAGUGGCGAAGGCGACUCUCUGGUCUGUAACUGACGCUGAGGCUCGAAAGCGUGGGGAGCAAACAGGAUUAGAUACCCUGGUAGUCCACGCCGUAAACGAUGAGUGCUAAGUGUUGGAGGGUUUCCGCCCUUCAGUGCUGCAGCUAACGCAUUAAGCACUCCGCCUGGGGAGUACGACCUCAAGGUUGAAACUCAAAUGAAUUGACGGGG
This 397-nucleotide ribosomal RNA is filed under the name uncultured bacterium. RNAcentral describes it as "partial 16S ribosomal RNA". It matches the Rfam family "Bacterial small subunit ribosomal RNA", at positions 523 to 918 of the family's 1533-position model. The record is from RNAcentral.